RNAcentral lists this non-coding RNA (173 nucleotides) under Sutterella wadsworthensis. RNAcentral's name for it is "Lysine sequence". It matches the Rfam family "Lysine riboswitch aptamer". Rfam says of the family: Riboswitches are metabolite binding domains within certain messenger RNAs that serve as precision sensors for their corresponding targets. Allosteric rearrangement of mRNA structure is mediated by ligand binding, and this results in modulation of gene expression. RNAcentral also lists the same sequence under 1 other name. The record is from RNAcentral. Lineage: Bacteria; Pseudomonadati; Pseudomonadota; Betaproteobacteria; Burkholderiales; Sutterellaceae.
AGGCAAGAUAGAGGCGCAGGGACUGCAUCAGUAGACGGCCGAGGAGGUAUCCGAGGACGCCGCUCGAAAGGGCAGCCUGCCGAAAUGACGCCGCGGACACGCGGCGGCCAUUGGUGACGCGGAGAACAUCCGCCUCACUCCCGCCGAUCCGCGGCGGAGGAGCUGUCGCUGAC